UUAAAAGUUUUACUUCUUUAUUACAGAUGAUAAUUGUUUACCUUAAGCUGCUCAAUCGAAGUCAUAUUCCAAGUGUUUAGUUGGUGCUUUUAAAAUUUAUUUUAGUCCUCCUGCAGUUACUGGACACCACUCGCCAUUGUUAUGUUGGAUAAACGCUCCGUUGUUAUGUCGAAGAAAGUACUUUUGCACCACAUACUUGUUAAUUGCGUGAUAACGUUGUGUAGUCGUUUUAUUUACUGUAUGGAUUCCGAAGCCAUGUUGAAAUUGUCCGAUUUUCUCCUUAGUUAUGGAGAACAAAUACGAGGAACUGCUCAUGUUUCUGUCUGUUGGGUCCUACCCAUCUGAAUACGAUAAGUCCCAGAGGCAAACCCUUAGGAGAUACGCCGCAAAAUUCAGGCUGAAGGGUGGAGUGCUCUUGUUUGGAAACAGGAGAGUGAUAAAAACAAAAGAAGAAGCCAUGGGACUAUUUCAAGAGUUUCAUUCAAGUCCCAUCGGUGGACACACUGGUGUACUCAAGACUCGAACUGCAAUGUGUUCCAGAUUUUACUGGUAUGGAAUGUCGGUUGACAUUGUUAAUUGGGUCCUGGCUUGUGACCAGUGUCAAAAAAUGGGAAAACCAUUGGCUGCUGUGCAACCACUGCAGUGUAUAAAGGUGUCACGUGUCUGGGAGCUAAUCGGAAUAGAUCUAACUGGACCUCUUCCAAAAACGUCUAGUGGCUUCCAGUACAUUAUGACUGCAACAGACUAUUUUUCAAAAUGGGUUGAGGCUUUUCCAUUAAAAAGCAAAAGUGCUGCUGAGGUAGCUCAUCAGUUGUGCUCAAUCAUAUAUAGACAUGGCUGUCCAAAACGAAUUUUAUCCGACCAAGGAAGGGAAUUUGUUAACGAGCUCAACUCAAGACUUUGCAGCUUAAUGAAAAUAGAUAGAAGUGUCACAGCAGCGCAUCACCCUCAGACAAAUGGCCUCGACGAAAAGACAAAUGACAACAUAAAAAGAGCCCUGAGAAAAUUAGUCAACAGUCAACAGAAUGACUGGGAUGUGUAUCUGGAUGCUACACUGUUUUCUUUGAGGUCCAAGGUCCACACCACAACCAAAUACACACCAUUCCGUUUAAUGUAUGGGAGAGAAGCUACGUAUCCUUCUGAAGUUCCUGUCGAAGUCCCAAGGCUAUGGGCUGCAAAGGAUACUGGGCGCUUGGAAUCAGUUGUUGGACCAUACAAGUUAUUUGAUUCCUCUUUUCGAACACUGCAGGGGUCACGGUGGCUUUCUGAUGAGGUCAUUGAUGCACACCUGCACCGUGUCACUGAGAGACGAAAGAAUGCUGUACACCUGCUCUGUUCAGUAGUUGCAAGCUCGUUGUUUUCUGGGCAGUUCAGAUGCCUCACCAAGAUGAAGUUCCCAGUUGAAGACAUGUGGCUGUGCCCUGUGAACUUUGGUACACACUGGAUUCUUGUGAUUGUCCACAUUUCUGCACAGAAAAUACUGCCCAUAGACCCCAUGGGGAAUGAAGGUGUUUAUGACAGGAAAAUUCUGCGCAACUGGAGGAAUUUUCUGAGGAUGAGAGGGCAUGAAGACACCAUGGAGUGGCAGUUACACACUAUGCAACACAACAAGCAACAGGAUUCCAGCAGUUGCGGAGUUUUGCUGUUAAAGUUUGCAGAACAGUACCUUGCUUUUGGAGAGGUCAGUGAGGUGUUAACCACUACAGAAGCAGUUGUGCUGGAGCGAAUGCAGAUAGCUUGCACCCUACUUGAACAUCGAGGGAACGCUGAGGACUACUGCAUUGUUUGUUCUAUGUUAGAUGCUGAUGCUGACCGCAGCAUGAUUGAAAUGGUGCAGUGUCAAUCUUGCCAAAGAUGGGCACAUUUUGCAUGUGCAAAAUAUAAAGAGAGCAACCAAGAAUAUAAAUGCAAAAAAUGUAAGGAAAAUACAUAACAACUUCAAAUAAAAACAGCUGUCUUUUCCCCUCCA
This is a long non-coding RNA of Oreochromis niloticus (Nile tilapia), 1969 nucleotides long. RefSeq annotates it as gypsy retrotransposon integrase-like protein 1. Lineage: Eukaryota; Metazoa; Chordata; Actinopteri; Cichliformes; Cichlidae. The record is from RefSeq and is a predicted model, not a curated record. The transcript is spliced from 15 exons.